Long non-coding RNA from Dermacentor silvarum, 244 nucleotides. RefSeq lists it as uncharacterized. The transcript has 3 exons. The record is from RefSeq and is a predicted model, not a curated record. NCBI's taxonomy places the organism in Eukaryota, Metazoa, Arthropoda, Arachnida, Ixodida, Ixodidae.
CUCUCAUGCGACCGUCUUCUACAUCGAUAUUAUCACGCCUUACGUCACCAUGAACGAACGAAGAGCAGUCUUCGUGAUGCGGGUGUUAGCACUUGCCAGUGGUACUCUCAUGACGUUGUUUGCAAUCGCAGUGCCGUACAUUGGAGCAGCUGCUAAAUUAUUCAUGUCCCUGUACUCCAGUGCUUCGGGACCUUUCGCUGGGCUUGUGAUACUUGCCAUCUCAUCGCCUUGGGUCAACGCAAAG